RNAcentral lists this ribosomal RNA (492 nucleotides) under uncultured bacterium. RNAcentral describes it as "partial 16S ribosomal RNA". It matches the Rfam family "Bacterial small subunit ribosomal RNA", at positions 29 to 507 of the family's 1533-position model. The record is from RNAcentral.
AGUGAACGCUGGCGGUAGGCCUAACACAUGCAAGUCGAACGGCAGCACAGUAAGAGCUUGCUCUUACGGGUGGCGAGUGGCGGACGGGUGAGGAAUACAUCGGAAUCUACUUUUUCGUGGGGGAUAACGUAGGGAAACUUACGCUAAUACCGCAUACGACCUACGGGUGAAAGCAGGGGAUCUUCGGACCUUGCGCGAUUGAAUGAGCCGAUGUCGGAUUAGCUAGUUGGCGGGGUAAAGGCCCACCAAGGCGACGAUCCGUAGCUGGUCUGAGAGGAUGAUCAGCCACACUGGAAGUGAGACACGGUCCAGACUCCGACGGGAGGCAGCAGUGGGGAAUAUUGGACAAUGGGCGCAAGCCUGAUCCAGCCAUACCGCGUGGGUGAAGAAGGCCUUCGGGUUGUAAAGCCCUUUUGUUGGGAAAGAAAAGCAGCAGGUUAAUACCCCGCUGUUCUGACGGUACCCAAAGAAUAAGCACCGGCUAACUUCGUG